Non-coding RNA from Apiosordaria backusii, 86 nucleotides. Lineage: Eukaryota; Fungi; Ascomycota; Sordariomycetes; Sordariales; Lasiosphaeriaceae. The record is from the annotation of a GenBank genome assembly.
UCUUCCGUAGUAUAGUGGUCAGUAUGUGAGCUUGUCAACCAUCAACAACAACGCUCGAGACCCGGGUUCAAUUCCCGGCGGGAGAG